RNAcentral lists this transfer RNA (77 nucleotides) under Plantactinospora alkalitolerans. Its description in RNAcentral is "Plantactinospora sp. S1510 tRNA-His". It matches the Rfam family "tRNA". From Rfam's summary of the family: Transfer RNA (tRNA) molecules are approximately 80 nucleotides in length. Lineage: Bacteria; Bacillati; Actinomycetota; Actinomycetes; Micromonosporales; Micromonosporaceae. The record is from RNAcentral.
GUGGCGGAAGCUCAGCCUGGUUGAGCGCCGGAAUGUGGCUCCGGAGGUCGCGGGUUCGAUUCCCGUGCGCCACCCCA